Molecule: ribosomal RNA, 630 nt
Filed under: uncultured Tulasnellaceae
Lineage: Eukaryota; Fungi; Basidiomycota; Agaricomycetes; Cantharellales; Tulasnellaceae
Description: eukaryotic LSU rRNA
Rfam family: Eukaryotic large subunit ribosomal RNA (bases 524-630)
Source: RNAcentral
GUUGCUUCUCCGCCGGUCGAGGACAACCGACCCCUCCCGUCCGAGGUGAAACCGACGUCGCUGUGUUACCUCUCCGGAGGCACACGUUAAAGAUCGUUCCGCGUUUGCGAGUCUCGACACCGGUUGGAAAACACGUUUACAACCGGUAGCGCUGGAUCCCUUGGCACGUCAUUCGAUGAAGACCGUUGCAAAUUGCGAUAAAGUGAUGUGAUGCGCAAGUCCACCACUUAUACGUGAAUCAUCGAGUUGUUGAACGCACUGCACCGCGCCCUAAACCGGCUGCGGUAUGCCCCUUUGAGCGUCAUUGUUACCCUUCGGGAGUCUUUGCCUUCAGAGACCCCGAGUUCGGAGUCCUUGGUCCUCGUUGGAUCGUGUUCUCUCAGAUCGAUCGCGCCGAUCGUCCGGUGGGUCCUCUAAUGCCUGAGCGUGGAGGGCCUCUGGGGUUUCGAGAGGCGUCCGACCGCGUGUUGAAGCGCCGGUCAGCAAGUCCCGCACGGCUCAGCCCGUCGGUGCUACAGCUUCAUGACCUCAUCGGGGUAGGACAACCCGCUAGACUUAAGCAUAUUAAUCAGCGGAGGAAAAGAAACUAACCAGGAUUCCCUCAGUAACUGCGAGUGAAGCGGGAUCGGC